GACGAACGCUGGCGGCGUGCCUAAUACAUGCAAGUUGAGCGCUGAAGGUUGGUACUUGUACCAACUGGAUGAGCAGCGAACGGGUGAGUAACGCGUGGGGAAUCUGCCUAUGAGCGGGGGACAACAUUUGGAAACGAAUGCUAAUACCGCAUAAAAACUUUAAACACAAGUUUUAAGUUUGAAAGAUGCAAUUGCAUCACUCAAAGAUGAUCCCGCGUUUUAUUAGCUAGUUGGUGAGGUAAAGGCUCACCAAGGCGAUGAUACAUAGCCGACCUGAGAGGGUGAUCGGCCACAUUGGGAAUGAGACACGGCCCAAACUCCUACGGGAGGCAGCAGUAGGGAAUCUUCGGCAAUAGCCGAAAGUCUGAACGAGGAACGCCGGGGGAGUGAAGAAGGUUUUCGGAUCGUAAAACUCUGUUGGUAGAGAAGAAAGUUGGUGAGAGUGGAAAGCUCAUCAAGUGACGGUAACUACCCAGAAAGGGACGGCUAACUACGUG
RNAcentral lists this ribosomal RNA (497 nucleotides) under uncultured bacterium. RNAcentral's name for it is "partial 16S ribosomal RNA". It matches the Rfam family "Bacterial small subunit ribosomal RNA", at positions 28 to 507 of the family's 1533-position model. The record is from RNAcentral.